GUCCUGCCCGUCAAGCACCGGCUGGGCGGAGCCAGCUGGAAAACAUCUGCUUCGCCCCCUCGGCGGCGCUCCCUUCUGAAAGCGGGAAGGCGCUUUGGCGGAUUCACAUAGAAAAAAAACCAUACCGUUGAUGACUGCAAAGAUGGAGCUAUGGCUAUAUUUAGAUUGUGUGAAGCUAAUGUAACCUAGUGUACAAAUUGAGUGACACACAAAAGCAUGGCAAUGAGGGAGGGGGCCAGCUAAAUAUAAAGAGAAGAUAUGAGUAUUAGUACCGCUUUAUAAAACCUUAGUAAGGCCACACCUGGAAUACUGCAUCCAGUUUUGGUCACCACAUUACAGACAAGAUGUUGAGACUUUGAAAAAAUGCAAAGAGCAACUAAAAUUAAUAAAGGCCUAGAAACUAAAACAUAUGAAGAACAAGUUGCAGGAUUUGGUUAGUCCAGAGAAAAGAAGGACUGGGGGGGGACAUGAUAGUGUUCCAGUAUUUGAGAGGCUGAAACAAAGCGAAGUGGGUCAAUUUAAUUUCCAAAGCACCAGAAGGCGAGACAAGGAACAAUGGAUAGAAACUAAUCAAGGAGAGAAGCAACCUGGAAUUAAGGAGAAACUUCCUAACAGUGAGGACAAUCCACCAGUGGAACAGCUUUGCCUUCAGAAGUUGUGGUUGCUUCAUCACUGGAGGUUUUUAAGAAGAGACUGGACAGUCACUUGGUAGGGUCUCCUGCUUGAGCAGGGAGCAGGAUUAGAAGACCUCCAAGGUCCCCUCCAGCUCUAUUCUGAUUGAUAAAGGAGCCACAAUAAAAUGACACAGAUUCUCUGACUUUACACAUGCACCCUUGGCCACCAAAAUCAGGUUUUUGAAGGGCUUUUUCAUUGAUUUGCCAUCUUCAUGCUGAACUUUCUGCCCACACCAGGUACUGUUUUUAGCUUAUUCUAAGGUUUCUUACUUUUUAAACUGAAAAGCUCAACAGUCGUCAUGGCUUUAUUUUCCAUUUUUAGCCAUUUUCUAUUUCCGUUUCUGUUGUGUGUGCUAUAAUCUGAUGUUAAGUGGGCUUUUAUGACUCAUGAGGCUGGGUUAGACCUGGAAUAUCCGUUUUGCUACUUAUCCUGUCCACUGAAGUGGGCAAAAUAAUAACUGGUUUCCAAAAGCAAACGCAGAAUAAAAAAUAAAACUUUGUCUACAAACCUGUAAGCAAUAUUAGAAAUAUAGGAAAUGGUCUUAUGCUAGGCUCGAGUACCUUUCUGCUAGCCCAAUUUUUCUCCCCAAGAGGUGCUCUAAAUGUUCCAGAAUUACCCAACCACCAUGGUCCACUGAGAACGGCAGGAGUUGGAGUUCCAGCAUAUCUUCAAGAAAACAGGUUGGGGAAGGAUGACCUAUUGUUUAUCUUAUUUUGGAAGGAGCUUUCUAGGUGUCACAGAAAGAUCUUUCCCAUCACUGCAACUUCAACAUUUGGAAACAUGGCAAUUUGUAUCUGGAGUCUUCUUUAUACAAACAAUAUGCUUUCUUCACACAAUGAAUAACUUAAAACAAAGAUUGAGGACAUACCGUAGCCCCAAUCUGAUUUUUUAAUGAGAUAGAAUAAAUUCUUUUUGACGCUUUUUACUUUAUCUUAUCCUCCAAGAUUUCUGUCCACAGUUUGAAUAACAAGGCGAUUAAGCUAGCUCUGUAACACUUAAAUGACCUUGUGAAUGUAUACUUCUGUUGUUGAGAGAAAAACAUAUAGUCUGUUUUAAUUAUCAUAGACUGAAUUCAUACAUCACUAUGGUUUGUCUGGUUUUGGCUUAAUAUUUUAUAUGAACCCAGCCAAUUAUGCUUGUUCAAUAAAAUGUGGUUACACAAAGCAUGGCUUAGUGUGAAGUGUAAGCUAUGCCAUAGAGUACAGUACUCCUAUAACCAGUCUCCCCUUACCUAACCUUCUGUCAGUCAAAUUUAUUAUCCAUGGUUACCAUACUGCUAGUAGUACAGUAUUGGGAAGUUCAGUGGUGGGUUAUAAAUUUUUAUACUACCAGUUCUAUGGGUGUGCCUUGGUGGGUGUGGCAUGGCUUGGUUGGGCGUGGCUUGGG
Molecule: long non-coding RNA, 2061 nt
Organism: Ahaetulla prasina
Lineage: Eukaryota; Metazoa; Chordata; Lepidosauria; Squamata; Colubridae
Exons: 3
Source: RefSeq, a predicted model, not a curated record